RNAcentral lists this ribosomal RNA (253 nucleotides) under uncultured bacterium. Its description in RNAcentral is "partial 16S ribosomal RNA". It matches the Rfam family "Bacterial small subunit ribosomal RNA", at positions 524 to 776 of the family's 1533-position model. The record is from RNAcentral.
UACGGGGGGAGCAAGCGUUGUUCGGAAUCACUGGGCGUAAAGGGAGUCUAGGCGGUUUGGUAAGUGGGAUGUGAAAUCCCCGGGCUCACCCCGGGACCUGCAUCCCAAACUGCUGAGCUUGAGUACAGGAGAGGGUGGGGGAAUUCCAGGUGUAGCGGUGAAAUGCGUAGAUAUCUGGAGGAACACCGGUGGCGAAGGCGCCCACCUGGCCUGCUACUGACGCUGAAGCUCGAAAGCUAGGGGAGCAAACAGG